This 352-nucleotide ribosomal RNA is filed under the name uncultured bacterium. Its description in RNAcentral is "bacterial SSU rRNA". It matches the Rfam family "Bacterial small subunit ribosomal RNA", at positions 28 to 406 of the family's 1533-position model. The record is from RNAcentral.
GACGAACGCUGGCGGUGUGCUUCACACAUGCAAGUCGAACGAGGUAGCAAUACCUAGUGGCGGACGGGUGAGUAACGCGUGGGAAUCUGCCUUUAGAUGGGGGAUAACGGGUCGAAAGACUCGUUAAUACCGCAUAUGACGAAAGUUGAAAGGAGUAAUCCGUCUAAAGAUGAGCCCGCGUCCGAUUAGCUAGUUGGUAGAGUAAAAGCCUACCAAGGCGACGAUCGGUAGCUGGUCUGAGAGGAUGAUCAGCCACAAUGGGACUAGAGACACGGCCCAUACUCCUACGGGAGGCAGCAGUGGGGAAUUUUACGCAAUGGGCGAAAGCCUGACGUAGCGACACCGCGUGAGC